Non-coding RNA from Charadrius vociferus (killdeer), 552 nucleotides. The record is from the annotation of a RefSeq genome assembly. NCBI's taxonomy places the organism in Eukaryota, Metazoa, Chordata, Aves, Charadriiformes, Charadriidae.
AUGGGGAUGCAGAGCUGGUGGGAUAGUGCCGUGGCCUGAGCCCCUCUCCUCCUCGCAGUGCUCGCCCACGGCUCAGGUUCCCUGGUCCAGGCAGCGCUGACUCAGCCGCCCUCUGUGUCGAAAAACCUGGGAGAAACCGUCCAGAUCACCUGCUCAGGUGCUAGCGGCAACUAUGGCUGGUUCCAGCAGAAGGUUCCUGGCACUGCCCCUGUCACUGUGAUCUACUACAACGACAAGAGACCCUCGGGCAUCCCUGCGCGAUUCUCCGGAUCCAAAUCUGGCUCCACGGGCACCUUAACCAUCACUGGGGUCCAAGCCGAGGACGAGGCUGUCUAUUACUGUGGUGGUUACGACGGCAGCAGUUCCCUGGUCCAGGCAGCGCUGACUCAGCCGCCCUCCGUGUCGAAAAACGUGGGAGAAACCGUCCAGAUCACCUGCUCUGGGCUUAGCAGCAGCAGCAAUGCUGGCUGGUACCAGCAGAAGGUUCCCGGCACUGCCCCUGUCACUGUGAUCUACAAGAGCAACCAGAGACCCUCAGACAUUCCUUCAUAA